This 297-nucleotide ribosomal RNA is filed under the name Clostridioides difficile. RNAcentral describes it as "partial 23S ribosomal RNA". It matches the Rfam family "Bacterial large subunit ribosomal RNA", at positions 2182 to 2477 of the family's 2925-position model. The record is from RNAcentral. Lineage: Bacteria; Bacillati; Bacillota; Clostridia; Peptostreptococcales; Peptostreptococcaceae.
GGAGCCAUCCUUGGGAUACCACCCUUGUAGUACUUGGACUCUAACCAUAGGCCAUGAAUCUGGUCUUGGGACACUGUCAGGUGGGCAGUUUGACUGGUGCUGUCGCCUCCCAAAAGGAAACGGAGGCGCUCAAAGGUUCUCUCAGUACGGUCGGAAAUCGUACGUAGCGUGUAAAGGCAAACGUGAGCCUGAUUGCAAGACAUACAGGUCGAGCAAGGAUGAAAAUCGGACUUAGUGAUCCGGUGGUUCUGCGUGGAAGGGCCAUCGCUCAACGGAUAAAAGCUACCCUGGGGAUAA